CAGUCGCCGCGGUAAUACGGAGGGUGCAAGCGUUAAUCGGAAUUACUGGGCGUAAAGCGCACGCAGGCGGUUUGUUAAGUCAGAUGUGAAGUCCCCGAGCUUAACUUGGGAACUGCAUUUGAAACUGGCAAGCUAGAGUCUUGUAGAGGGGGGUAGAAUUCCAGGUGUAGCGGUGAAAUGCGUAGAGAUCUGGAGGAAUACCGGUGGCGAAGGCGGCCCCCUGGACAAAGACUGACGCUCAGGUGCGAAAGCGUGGGGAGCAAACAGGAUUAGAUACCCGCGUAGUCCCUGUCUCUUAUAC
Molecule: ribosomal RNA, 301 nt
Filed under: uncultured bacterium
Lineage: Bacteria
Description: partial 16S ribosomal RNA
Rfam family: Bacterial small subunit ribosomal RNA
Source: RNAcentral